AAAAAAUUAAUAUUUGUAACUCUUUUUGGUGUUCAAAAUUACAUUAUAGGUAGAUGCAUGUAUUGGGUGAAAAGAAAUGGAGAAGAUCAUAUUGAUUAGGUUGUUAUAGAGACAUUUUGGUGUGUAUCUGAAUCUGGCAUAUUUAUAAAUAAAAUAUCUGACUUUGCUCCAAGAGAUGUGAUUAAAGCAUAAUUGCUACCUAUGCAACAUAUUAUAAAAUCCUUUAAUGGGGACCAGCACUGAUCAAAAAGCAGAGGCUUAUAAAAAUUGUAUUAGAAGUUGGCUCAACUGCUCUGUCAAAGACUUCAAAGAACACAUUGAUAAGUCAGUGAUCUAUCUACCUCAGUGUAAAGAAUAUUCCCCAGAAUUCCUCUAAAUAAUUACAGGCAGGGUAAUAUCCUUUGUACAUGAAUCUCUCCGUUUUUUAUAAUGUUCUAAGAAGAAGAAACAUCAGAUUCCUUCUCGGAAUGAUCAGUUUUCAAAAAUCUCAAAGGACUCCUUAACACAUUGAAAUGUGGCUGAAAAGACUCUUAAAGGAAAUUAUACCUGCAUUACUCUAAAAUUCUCUUUUCGGUGCACUAUCAUUAACUGGUUAUAUAGAACGGUUGUCAAAAUAUGACUAGCAGCCAUUUGUUUGUACUUCUAACACGCCUCUUCUACGGUAACUUAGGUGCUAGUUUAAUUAAGAAAUCAAUUACUCAUAGUUACACGAGGACAGGUUAAUCUAAAAAACUAUUUUCCAGAAGCAUUACGCAAUUCAGGAUGUCUGCAUGUAUUGCGUCUGCCAAAAAGUGAUUGUGAAUAUAGAAUUGCUGCUCUGACUAUCGAAAAUAUUUAAUGUACAAGAGAGCAUGUUUGCUGGGGGGGUACUUGCCAGCUAAUAGUGCAAGAUAAAUACAUGUGGUUUGAUUCUGUAACCUAUGUUUAUCACUGGUAAUUGAGAAGCAAUUACACACUGCAGUUGUACUGUUAAACUUAUCUCUGAUCAUAUAUUCCAUUAUCAGGAGAGAUAGAGAUCACAUCUUUAGCUUAUGCCAAUGGUAUAAUAGAUGUUUCUAAAUACAGAGGUUCCUCAACAAAUUCCAUUCACUCAUUUUUCAAUGUGUACUACACCAUUAAAUAAACAGCAGGGGUCCCCAAAAUGACCCUCAAAUAUUACACAACUACAAUUGCUAAUAUGCUUUAGCAGCCUUUAGAAUGUAGAUGCAUGAAUGCAGUUGUAUUUCUAAAGAUAUGGGGGAUCCAGGAAUUUUGUGAACCCCAGCUCUAUAGUUUUUAAGUGAUUGCUUUGCUGUGGCUGAAGACAAGACAGAAAGUGGCUGAUGCAAUCUUUUUCAAGUGGAUCUGUCUUGUUUUACCAUAAUAAUAAACUUCAUCUAAAUCUGACUAGAUAUUGUUUUUUUUUUUUU
This is a non-coding RNA of Pelobates cultripes (western spadefoot toad), 1409 nucleotides long. Lineage: Eukaryota; Metazoa; Chordata; Amphibia; Anura; Pelobatidae. The record is from the annotation of a GenBank genome assembly.